UUGCUUCAUAGCUCAGUGGGUAGAGCAACCGCCCGAUAAGCGGUAGGUCACUGGUUCAAGUCCAGUUGAAGCAACCAG
Molecule: transfer RNA, 78 nt
Filed under: Erwinia phage vB_EamP_Frozen
Lineage: Duplodnaviria; Heunggongvirae; Uroviricota; Caudoviricetes; Schitoviridae
Also listed under: 2 other names
Description: tRNA-Ile
Rfam family: tRNA
About the family: Transfer RNA (tRNA) molecules are approximately 80 nucleotides in length.
Source: RNAcentral